GACGAACGCUGGCGGCGUGCUUAACACAUGCAAGUCGAACGGAAAGGCCCUGCUUUUGUGGGGUGCUCGAGUGGCGAACGGGUGAGUAACACGUGAGUAACCUGCCCUUGACUUUGGGAUAACUUCAGGAAACUGGGGCUAAUACCGGAUAGGAGCUCCUGCUGCAUGGUGGGGGUUGGAAAGUUUCGGCGGUUGGGGAUGGACUCGCGGCUUAUCAGCUUGUUGGUGGGGUAGUGGCUUACCAAGGCUUUGACGGGUAGCCGGCCUGAGAGGGUGACCGGCCACAUUGGGACUGAGAUACGGCCCAGACUCCUACGGGAGGCAGCAGUGGGGAAUAUUGCACAAUGGGCGGAAGCCUGAUGCAGCAACGCCGCGUGCGGGAGGACGGCCUUCGGGUGGUAAACCGCUUUCGCCUGUGACGAAGCGUGAGUGACGGUAAUGGGUAAAGAAGCACCGGCUAACUACGU
Molecule: ribosomal RNA, 467 nt
Filed under: uncultured bacterium
Lineage: Bacteria
Description: partial 16S ribosomal RNA
Rfam family: Bacterial small subunit ribosomal RNA
Source: RNAcentral